UCGAGAAUUUUUCUCAAUGGGGGAAACCCUGAAGGAGCGACGCCGCGUGGAGGAUGAAGGUCUUCGGAUUGUAAACUCCUGUCAUUUGGGAACAAUUGCAGACGAUUAACUGUCGCCUGCUUGAUAGUACCAGAAGAGGAAGAGACGGCUAACUCUGUGCCAGCAGCCGCGGUAAUACAGAGGUCUCAAGCGUUGUUCGGAUUCAUUGGGCGUAAAGGGUGCGUAGGUGGCGGGGUAAGUCUGGUGUGAAAUCUCGGGGCUCAACCCCGAAACUGCACUGGAUACUGCCUUGCUCGAGUACUGGAGAGGAGAUUGGAAUUUACGGUGUAGCAGUGAAAUGCGUAGAUAUCGUAAGGAAGACCAGUGGCGAAGGCGAAUCUCUGGACAGUUACUGACACUGAGGCACGAAGGCCAGGGGAGCAAACGGG
This 428-nucleotide ribosomal RNA is filed under the name uncultured bacterium. RNAcentral describes it as "bacterial SSU rRNA". It matches the Rfam family "Bacterial small subunit ribosomal RNA", at positions 355 to 776 of the family's 1533-position model. The record is from RNAcentral.